Molecule: ribosomal RNA, 253 nt
Filed under: uncultured bacterium
Lineage: Bacteria
Description: partial 16S ribosomal RNA
Rfam family: Bacterial small subunit ribosomal RNA
Source: RNAcentral
GACAGAGGGUGCAAACGUUGUUCGGAAUUACUGGGCAUAAAGAGCACGUAGGUGGUCUGCUAAGUCGUGUGUGAAAUCCCCCGGCUCAACCGGGGAAUUGCGCUCGAUACUGGCAGGCUCGAGGUGGGUAGGGGUGAGCGGAACUGCGAGUGUAGAGGUGAAAUUCGUAGAUAUUCGCAAGAACACCAGUGGCGAAGGCGGCUCACUGGCCCGAUACUGACGCUGAGGCACGAAAGCGUGGGGAGCAAACAGG